This 562-nucleotide ribosomal RNA is filed under the name uncultured bacterium. RNAcentral's name for it is "partial 16S ribosomal RNA". It matches the Rfam family "Bacterial small subunit ribosomal RNA", at positions 355 to 1375 of the family's 1533-position model. The record is from RNAcentral.
UGGGGAAUAUUGCACAAUGGGCGAAAGCCUGAUGCAGCAACGCCGCGUGAGUGAUGAGGGCCUUCGGGUUGUAAAGCUCUGUCUUUUGGGACGAUAAUGACGGUACCAAAGGAGGAAGCCACGGCUAACUACGUGCCAGCAGCCGCGGUAAUACGUAGGUGGCAAGCGUUGUCCGGAUUUACUGGGCGUAAAGGAUGCGUAGGCGGAUUUUUAAGUGAGAUGUGAAAACCCUAAGCUUAACUUGGGGACUGCAUUUCAUACUGGAAAUCUAGAGUGCGGGAGAGGAGAAUGGAAUUCCUAGUGUAGCGGUGAAAUGCGUAGAGAUUAGGAAGAACACCAGUGGCGAAGGCGAUUCUCUGGACCGUAACUGACGCUGAGGCAUGAAAGCGUGGGUAGCAAACAGGAUUAGAUACCCUGGUAGUCCACGCCGUAAACGAUGAGUACUAGGUGUAGGAGGUAUCGACCCCUUCUGUGCCGCAGUUAACACAAUAAGUACUCCGCCUGGGAAGUACGAUCGCAAGAUUAAAACUUAAAUGAAUUGACGGGGUCAUAGCUGUUUCCU